Molecule: unclassified non-coding RNA, 249 nt
Filed under: uncultured Mortierella
Lineage: Eukaryota; Fungi; Mortierellomycota; Mortierellomycetes; Mortierellales; Mortierellaceae
Description: sequence contains ITS2
Source: RNAcentral
AACACCUCAACUUCCAUAUCUUUUUUGAAAUGGGAGCUGGACUUGAGUGAUCCCAACGCUUUUCCUCACCGAAAAGUGGCGGGUUACUUGAAAUGCAGGUGCAGCUGGACUUUUCUCUGAGCUAUAAGCAUAUCUAUUUAGUCUGCCUAAAAAACAGAUUAUUACCUUUGCUGCAGCUAACAUAAAGGAGAUUAGUUCUUGUGCUGACUGAUGCAGGAUUCACAAAGAGAGCUUCGGCCGACUUUGUAA